GACGAACGCUGGCGGCGUGCUUAACACAUGCAAGUCGAACGGAAAGGCCCUGCUUUUGUGGGGUGCUCGAGUGGCGAACGGGUGAGUAACACGUGAGUAACCUGCCCUUGACUUUGGGAGAACUUCAGGAAACUGGGGCUAAUACCGGAUAGGAGCUCCUGCUGCAUGGUGGGGGUUGGAAAGGUUCGGCGGUUGGGGAUGGACUCGCGGCUUAUCAGCUUGUUGGUGGGGUAGUGGCUUACCAAGGCUUUGACGGGUAGCCGGCCUGAGAGGGUGACCGGACACAUUGGGACUGGGAUGCGGCCCAGACUCCUACGGGAGGCAGCAGUGGGGAAUAUUGCACAAUGGGCGGAAGCCUGAUGCAGCAACGCCGCGUGCGGGAUGACGGCCUUCGGGUUGUAAACCGCUUUCGCCUGUGACGAAGCGUGAGUGACGGUAAUGGGUAAAGAAGCACCGGCUAACUACGUG
Molecule: ribosomal RNA, 468 nt
Filed under: uncultured bacterium
Lineage: Bacteria
Description: partial 16S ribosomal RNA
Rfam family: Bacterial small subunit ribosomal RNA
Source: RNAcentral